RNA transcript from Prosopis cineraria, 1914 nucleotides. RefSeq lists it as uncharacterized. Lineage: Eukaryota; Viridiplantae; Streptophyta; Magnoliopsida; Fabales; Fabaceae. The record is from RefSeq and is a predicted model, not a curated record. The transcript has 2 exons.
UAUGAGUAGUGAACAGGUUUGAUGGUGGCUUCUCCUAGUCUGGGAAAUCGUAUAAAUUGCAGAGCAAUCAAGAAGAAAAUUCGAAGAGGGCGUGGGACUUCAAAUGCUAUUUCUGGAAGGCGUUUUUCCUCUAAAACACUAUCUCCCCUCUUCAACGCUUCAACUCAAAAUUGGACCCAUGGGUUUGAAGGAGAUUUUAAUGAUAUUGUAUCAAUGAGGGAGAAAGAAGGGGAAGACCAAGGCCAGUACGAAAGAUGCUGAAUUUUGAACUUUUUAUUUCAGAUUGCUCUCUCUUUGAUCUUGGGUUUAAUGGCUCUAGAUUUGCAUGGUGUAAUGGUCAGCAAGAUCAGGACAGUAUUAGGGAACGAAUUGAUCGUGCUAUGGGAAAUGCUGAAUACUGUAAACAUUUUCCUAGAACUCAAGUUUUUUAUAUUGACCCCAUGGGUUCAAACCACCAUCUCCUACUUGUGGAUCUAAAUUUCACUUCUAGUAAAACUCCUUGGACCUUCUAAUUUGAAGAAUUUUGGCCCACUCACCAAGAGUACUUGCAGGUUGUCCAAAAAAGUUGGUAGACUCAGGUUGAUCAUCUCAACAAACAAGUUGACAUUUUUCUGGCUAGACUUUCUUCUUGUAAAACUUCUCUCACAAAAUGAAGUUCCAAGGUUUUCCCUAAUAACAGAAGAGUUAUUGAUCAACUCAAAAUACGACUCGUGGAUUGUAAACAGGGGGUUCUUGAUAAUGCAAAAAUCAUAAAGGCAAAGGAAUUACCUAUUGAAAUUGAGUAGUUGCUUGACAGGGAAGAGAUGUACUAGAGACAGAGGUCACAGGUUAUUUGGUUACAAGUGGAGAUCAACACUCUCAUUUCUUCCAUUUGACUGCCAUAAUAAGAAGACAAAAAAUAGCAUUUUGAAGAUAAGAGAUGAGCAUGGUAGCUGGAUUAGUGAAGCUGCAGACAUAGCCAAGGUUUUCACUUAUUAUUACACAAAUCUCUUUACUGCAUCACAACCUCGAUCAAUUGAGGAGGUUCUCAAUCAUUUGGAUUGCAGAAUUGAUGACAAUUUGAAUGUCAAGCUAUUGCUCCCAAUCACUAAAGAGGAAGUUCGUAUGGCUGCUUUUAGCCUAGGCUCCUCAAAGGCACCUGGUCUUGACGAAUUCUCAGGUAAAUUUUAUCAAUCCUCUUGGUCUGAGGUGGGAGAUAAUAUAUAUCCGAUUGUCCUUAAUCUUUUUAAAGGGAAAGAGUUUGUGGAUGGCCUUAAUGAUACUAAUAUUACUUUGAUACCUAAGAUUGAUAAGCCUGAACUUGUCACUUAGUUUUGACCUAUGAGGCUUUGUAACUUCUCUUAUAAAAUCUUCUCCAAAAUUUUAGUUACUUGUAUGAAACCUUUCCUUGAUAACAGUGUUUCUCUUAAUCAGGGGGCUUUCAUUCCAGGCCGAUUAAUUCAUGAUAAUUAUUAUUGCUCAUGAAGUGUGUCAUUAUUUGAGAAGAAAACGUGACAGUAAGAAGUAUGAAUUCGCUUUGAAGAUGGACAUGAGUAAGGCUUAUGAUAGGGUCAAAUGAGAUUUUUUGAAACAUGUGCUCUUGAAAUUUGGUUUUUUGUUUGAAGUGGGUAAAUCUCAUAAUGAAUUGUGUUAGCUUGGUCAAUUUGAAUUUCUGUCUCUCUGGAGCUAAGGUGGGAACUAUUAUACCUAGGAGUGGGUCAAGACAGGGGGACCCUUUGUCACCAUAUCUAUUUAUUCUAGUCUCUAACGUUAAAUCUAGUACGAUUAUUAAGCAACAGGAGCGACAUGAUCUCAAAGGCAUAAAAAGAAGUUUACAAUGGCCAGAAGUAACACAACUUUGUAGAUGAUGCUCUUUUCUUCAUGAAUGCAUAAAAAGCAGUUGCAGAGUACUAGUAAAGAAUUUGCAUGAUUAUU